CAGCAGCCGCGGGAAUACGGAGGGAGCUAGCGUUGUUCGGAAUUACUGGGCGUAAAGCGCGCGUAGGCGGUUACUCAAGUCAGAGGUGAAAGCCCGGGGCUCAACCCCGGAAUUGCCUUUGAGACUGCAUCGCUUGAAUCCAGGAGAGGUGAGUGGAAUUCCGAGUGUAGAGGUGAAAUUCGUAGAUAUUCGGAAGAACACCAGUGGCGAAGGCGGCUCACUGGACUGGUAUUGACGCUGAGGUGCGAAAGCGUGGGGAGCAAACAGGAUUAGAUACCCGGGUAGUCCCUGUCUCUUAUAA
RNAcentral lists this ribosomal RNA (301 nucleotides) under uncultured bacterium. Its description in RNAcentral is "partial 16S ribosomal RNA". It matches the Rfam family "Bacterial small subunit ribosomal RNA", at positions 509 to 809 of the family's 1533-position model. The record is from RNAcentral.